RNAcentral lists this RNase P RNA (302 nucleotides) under Flavobacterium haoranii. Its description in RNAcentral is "Flavobacterium sp. LQY-7 Bacterial RNase P class A". It matches the Rfam family "Bacterial RNase P class A". Rfam says of the family: Ribonuclease P (RNase P) is a ubiquitous endoribonuclease, found in archaea, bacteria and eukarya as well as chloroplasts and mitochondria. Its best characterised activity is the generation of mature 5'-ends of tRNAs by cleaving the 5'-leader elements of precursor-tRNAs. Lineage: Bacteria; Pseudomonadati; Bacteroidota; Flavobacteriia; Flavobacteriales; Flavobacteriaceae. The record is from Rfam by way of RNAcentral.
CCCGCAGACCGUCUUAUCGCUGCUCGAAAGAGGAGAGGAAAGUCCGGACACCAUAGAGCAAGCAUAGCGGGUAACGCCCGUCCGUUGAAAGGCGAGGACAAGUGCAACAGAAAGUAUGUACAGGUAAUGCUGUAGUGAAACCAGGUAAACUCUAUGCGGUGAAAUGCCAUGUAUAUCAGCAAUUAAGAGCUGCUCGUUCAUGCUGAGGGGUAGGCAGAUGGAUUCCGUGAGUAAUUGCGGAACUAGAUAAAUGAUAAGACUCCUUUUGGAGACAGAACCCGGCUUAUAGGUCUGCUUUUUUU